CCACCAAGUGAAGUGCAAGAAUCCAGAUCAUUGAAGUCCACCUUAUCACAACCCGCACACCCGAUUACCUAUAUAUACAUGAACUUACGGUUACAGCUAAACAGCUGACCUCUGUAGCUCAGUUGGUUAGAGCGCUGCACCGGAAUCGCAGGGCCGUAGGUUCAAUUCCUACCAGAGGACCUUCUGCUGCAUUUUUCGCAGUCGUUCCUGGUUAGGUCUUAAAAA
Paramuricea clavata is the source of this 225-nucleotide non-coding RNA. NCBI's taxonomy places the organism in Eukaryota, Metazoa, Cnidaria, Anthozoa, Malacalcyonacea, Plexauridae. The record is from the annotation of a GenBank genome assembly.